UGGGGAAUAUUGGACAAUGGGGGAAACCAUGAUCCAGCCAUGCCGCGUGUGUGAAGAAGGCCUUCGGGUUGUAAAGCACUUUAAGCGAGGAGGAAGGUUCGUUGGUUAAUAACCAGCGGAAUUGACGUUACUCGCAGAAUAAGCACCGGCUAACUCUGUGCCAGCAGCCGCGGUAAUACAGAGGGUGCAAGCGUUAAUCGGAAUUACUGGGCGUAAAGCGCGCGUAGGCGGUUGUGUAAGUUGGAGGUGAAAUCCCCGGGCUUAACCUGGGCACUGCCUUCAAAACUGCACGGCUAGAGUAUGGGAGAGGAAGGUAGAAUUCCAGGUGUAGCGGUGAAAUGCGUAGAGAUCUGGAGGAAUACCGAUGGCGAAGGCAGCCUUCUGGCCUAAUACUGACGCUGAGGUGCGAAAGCAUGGGGAGCAAACA
RNAcentral lists this ribosomal RNA (427 nucleotides) under uncultured bacterium. RNAcentral's name for it is "bacterial SSU rRNA". It matches the Rfam family "Bacterial small subunit ribosomal RNA", at positions 355 to 774 of the family's 1533-position model. The record is from RNAcentral.